This 253-nucleotide ribosomal RNA is filed under the name uncultured bacterium. RNAcentral's name for it is "partial 16S ribosomal RNA". It matches the Rfam family "Bacterial small subunit ribosomal RNA", at positions 524 to 776 of the family's 1533-position model. The record is from RNAcentral.
UACGUAGGGGCCUAGCGUUGUCCGGAAUUAUUGGGCGUAAAGAGCUCGUAGGCGGCUUGUCGCGUCGUCCGUGAAAACCAGGGGCUCAACCCCUGGCUUGCGGUCGAUACGGGCAGGCUAGAGUUCGGUAGGGGAGACUGGAAUUCCUGGUGUAGCGGUGAAAUGCGCAGAUAUCAGGAGGAACACCGGUGGCGAAGGCGGGUCUCUGGGCCGAUACUGACGCUGAGGAGCGAAAGCGUGGGGAGCGAACAGG